UGAGAUUUCCCAACUUCGGUUAUAAGAUCCCUCAAAGAUGAUGAGGUGAAUAGGUUCGAGGUGGAAGCGUAGUGAUACGUGGAGCUGACGAAUACUAAUCGAUCGAAGACUUAAUCAAU
RNAcentral lists this ribosomal RNA (119 nucleotides) under Staphylococcus pseudintermedius. RNAcentral's name for it is "partial 23S ribosomal RNA". It matches the Rfam family "Bacterial large subunit ribosomal RNA", at positions 2805 to 2925 of the family's 2925-position model. Lineage: Bacteria; Bacillati; Bacillota; Bacilli; Caryophanales; Staphylococcaceae. The record is from RNAcentral.